GGAAUACCAAGUGGCCCUUAGAAAUUUCAUUUCUAGACAGUUACCAAUAGAAGAGAAUCAUAGUAAAUAGCCAAACAAUUUAUAGCUCCCACACAUUACAAAAAAACAUCCUAAUAAUUAACUCAGUAGUAUUUUCCAUUAAAUACCACUACCAUGCCAAAGAUGAAUGUCUUAUUAACAUGCAUUCUACACGACUAUGUAAAUCAAAACCUCAAAGGCAAUAAACAACAACUCUUACACAAUGCAAGAUCAACCACUAUUAAAUCUCGAAACACUCCCUCAAUCAAGGAUAUUUAUCUAUAGAGUUCUGCAACCAUCAAGAUCCACCAUAUACGACAUGUCAUGCAAUUAUCUCCAACACUAACUGAAGCUGCUAA
This 377-nucleotide long non-coding RNA is filed under the name Brassica napus (rape). Its description in RNAcentral is "long non-coding RNA (BNAP_LNC019011)". Lineage: Eukaryota; Viridiplantae; Streptophyta; Magnoliopsida; Brassicales; Brassicaceae. The record is from RNAcentral.